Molecule: long non-coding RNA, 157 nt
Organism: Lucilia cuprina (Australian sheep blowfly)
Lineage: Eukaryota; Metazoa; Arthropoda; Insecta; Diptera; Calliphoridae
Exons: 2
Source: RefSeq, a predicted model, not a curated record
UAGUAAACGUUAAAUGAAUUAACAAAAUAAAUUUGGAUAAAAAAUAUAACAGCAAAAAUUUAUUAAACAAACAAGUUACCAACAUUAUAACUGGAUUAUUACGUCAUUAAAUCAAAAUCCGCUGAGAUUUAAUAAAAAGUAGAAAAUCUAUAGAUUU